GAUGAACGCUGGCGGCGUGCCUAAUACAUGCAAGUCGAGCGAACAGACGAGGAGCUUGCUCCUCUGACGUUAGCGGCGGACGGGUGAGUAACACGUGGAUAACCUACCUAUAAGACUGGGAUAACUUCGGGAAACCGGAGCUAAUACCGGACAAUAUAUUGAACCGCAUGGUUCAUUAGUGAAAGACGGUUUUGCUGUCACUUAUACAUGGAUCCGCGCCGCAUUAGCUAGUUGGUAAGGUAACGGCUUACCAAGGCAACGAUGCGUAGCCGACCUGAGAGGGUGAUCAGCCACACUGGAACUGAGACACGGUCCAGACUCCUACGGGAGGCAGCAGUAGGGAAUAUUGCACAAUGGGCGAAAGCCUGACGGAGCAACGCCGCGUGAGUGAUGAAGGUCUUCGGAUCGUAAAACUCUGUUAUUAGGGAAGAACAAAAGUGUAAGUAACUAUGCACGUCUUGACGGUACCUAAACAGAAAGCCACGGCUAACUACGUG
Molecule: ribosomal RNA, 497 nt
Filed under: uncultured bacterium
Lineage: Bacteria
Description: partial 16S ribosomal RNA
Rfam family: Bacterial small subunit ribosomal RNA
Source: RNAcentral